GCGAACUCGUGGCCGGAUGCGCGUGUAAUACGGAUGGGGCGAGCGUUUUUCGGAAUCACCGGGCUUAAAGCGCGUUUAGGCGGGCUUGUAAGUCGGGUGUGAAAGCCCGGGGCUUACCCCCGGAAGUGCACGGGAAACUGCAAGGCUUGAGUACCGGAGAGGAAGGUGGAAUUCCUGGUGUAGCGGUGAAAUGCGUAGAUAUCAGGAGGAACACCGGUGGCGAAGGCGGCCUUCUGGACGGAUACUGACGCUGAGACGCGAAAGCGUGGGGAGCAAACAGGAUUAGAUACCCUAGUAGUC
RNAcentral lists this ribosomal RNA (300 nucleotides) under uncultured Methanocaldococcus sp. RNAcentral describes it as "bacterial SSU rRNA". It matches the Rfam family "Bacterial small subunit ribosomal RNA", at positions 496 to 795 of the family's 1533-position model. Lineage: Archaea; Methanobacteriati; Methanobacteriota; Methanococci; Methanococcales; Methanocaldococcaceae. The record is from RNAcentral.